Molecule: long non-coding RNA, 2015 nt
Filed under: Homo sapiens (human)
Lineage: Eukaryota; Metazoa; Chordata; Mammalia; Primates; Hominidae
Description: HSALNT0365454
Source: RNAcentral
AGACUGCAUUUUGCCUUGCUUUUCCUUCUCCCUUUCUCUCUCUUUCUUUCUUUCUUUCUUUCUUUCUUUCUUUCUUUCUUUCUUUCUUUCUUUCUUUCUUUCUUUCUUUCUUUUUCUUUCUCUCUCUCUCUCUCUUUCUUUCUUUCCUUUCUUUUCUUUCUUUCCUCUUUCUCUUUCCUUCUUUCUUUUUUUCUUCUUUCUUUCCUUCCUUCCUUCCAUCUUUCUUUUCUUUCUUUCCAUUUUUUUUUUCCUCCAGAAGAAUGGAAACAGUAUUCUUUUCCGAUCAGUUCAGUAAUACAAUGUCCUUCAGUGUCCAUAUGAGCAUUUCAGUGGAGAAGAAAAGAAACUUUGCUACCUGGGAACUGAAGACUACUUAGUGAAGAUCCCGGUGUUACACAUCCAAUCGUUCACCUCCUUCCAAGACUAUGACAUUCCAGGAAACCUUCACUGCUAAGAGGAACUAAGAUCUAGAGUAUCUCCUCGAGGAAGUACAACUGGAUUCUCCCUCCUUGGUUCUUCCCUGGACCAAGGACAGAAGAAUCAUUCAACACAGAGGCUAUUGACAAAAGGGGCAUAUUUGGUGCAAACAGGGGUAAGUCAUGAUUAGUUCAUAAAAACUAAAUUCUCAAAAAAUAAUAUGAAAUCUAGGAGAUUCUCCACCACAUAGGAAGUUGUUCUUUAUUGGAUUAUGUCAGAAUAUACAAGUGCAUGUGCACAGUUUUGAAUUUGUCUAGUUUCUUUUUCAUAUUAAAAACAAACACCUGAUUGGAAUUUGACAUCAGAAAAUUAGUACAUUUGAGCUCAGCUCCCCAUGGGCUUGAGAGCAUCUUCAGAAAGAAGGCUUAUGUUCUGGCAGAUGGGGAAUUGGCAUUGUAAAGCAUGGUAUAUGAAAAAGGUGACCUGCAAACUGAUAGAUUCUAGGAAAUCUGUUCUGGAACUCUAAGGGUAAAUAGGUCCAAUUCACUCACUUAGCUAAGAAAAAUAUGGGUAAAGUAGCAUGAGACACUAGGGGAAACAUACUGGGAGAGGGGAACAGAGGACUGGGGUUUUCUUCUUACUUGAGCUUGAGGCUCUUUGGAGCUCAGCAUACUCAUUCAUAGACCAAGGACAGCAGUAUCAGCUUCUCACUUGUCAGUGAUCCUUAGAGUUUGUUGAGAUAAUAAUGAUGAUAGCAUGAUAAAGACAAAAGUAUUACAUCUGUAAAUGGUUCACCAUGAUAUGGCUAUUGCAAAAGCACAAACAUUGAAGCCACACAGACCAUUGCUCUCAAACUGUGUUACUUACCAUAGCAAGUACUAUACCUUGAUUAAGGCAUCAAAUUUUCUGAGCCACAAAACUGUGGCUGCACCUUUAGAAUGGAGAUAAAGUUGUUGGAAAUAUAUGUAAUUUAAAUACAUAAAAUGCCAUAACUUACCCAGGAAUAUUCAAUUUAUGAUUAUCAUUAUCAUCCUCACAGGUAAUUAAUAAGAAGUCCAGUGGCUCACACCUGCGAUCCCAGCACUUUGGGAGGCUGAGAUGGGCAGAUUGCUCGAGCCCAGGAAUUCAAGACCAACCUGGGCAACAUGGCAAAACCCCAUCUCUACAAAAAUACAAAAAUUAACCAGAUGUGAUGGUUCAUGCCUGUAGUCCCAGCUACUCUGGAGGCUGAUGUGGGAGGAUCGCUUGAGCCUAGGAAGUCAAGGCUGCAGUGAGUCAUGAUUGCUCCGCUCCACUGCACUCUGGCCUUGAUGAUAGAGUGAGAACCAGUCUCAAAAAAAAAAAGGUCAUUUUCUAAGCAUUUGUUGAUUCAAUACUGCCCACUAUGUACACUGACAAUUAGACAUAAUUUAAUUUCAGCUCAUGGUAUGAAUGGAGACAAAAUGAAAUCAUUUUAAUGCACAUUAAGGCAAUAUAGUGCCCUUAAAUAAAAAGUUGAAGUUCAUAAGGGACCAUCAUUAAGAUUUAACUUUGUAACAAAUAUUUUGUUUUUGUUUGUUUUAUUUUUAGAUUUGCAUAAUAAAACAUUCAUAUUCUUA